Molecule: long non-coding RNA, 1012 nt
Organism: Cercocebus atys (sooty mangabey)
Lineage: Eukaryota; Metazoa; Chordata; Mammalia; Primates; Cercopithecidae
Exons: 2
Source: RefSeq, a predicted model, not a curated record
UUAUCAUUUAUUAUUCAUUAUAAUUAGCAUUGUUGUUAUAGGCGACACUUCUCCCAGGACGGGACAAAAAGCAAACCAAGUGCCUUAGGCCAGAGACACUUUCACAUGGAUAUCAAUGGGGGAUGUGGAACAUUUAUUUGUUUACUCUCUCACUCCUAAAUUAGUAAAUACCGUAUUCUUGAGUUCUAAUCUACAUAAUCAGCCACUGGGAACAGUUUUCUCUUCUCUGUUCUUCUGUAUGUUUUCUGUGAAUUAUUUUGUUACUUGUGAAAUAUGGGAAGGCACACGGCAUAGCUUUGGCAGCGCUCUUCUUUGCAGAGCAGCUAAGGAAUUUUUGAAGUAGGUCCCUUUGCAUAUUAGCCCGGACUAAACACAGGCAUCUGUUUGGAGCACAGAGCAACUGGGGGAAAGGAGCCCAAAAAGCUAACACCUAUUUCAGAGAGGUGUGAGCUUGGUGAGCGUUUUGGAAAAUAAGGUAAAAUUAGCACACUAGUUUUAAAUGAUUUGCAGGCUACAUAAUUUUAUCCAAUGCUUAUUUUAUCUUUUAAACAUUAAGUGAUAACUUUUACUUGGCAUAAUCAUCUUGCUGGAAAUCUAUGCUGAUAAACAUAAUAGGAACAUGAAACUAACUUGGAGACUAGAGCUAAGAUUAAAAUUACAGAGAUGACAGCUCAUUGUACAGAGCAUCAAAAGGCUGAGUGAACAGGGCCCACAGACAGCAGCUCCACCAACUGUCCACCACCAGAGAAAUGAGAGUUCGUGAUCAAAGCAUGAAGGAGACUGGGGAUGUUUUUUUCAAGAAGGCAAAGACAGCCUCUUGAAUGAUGUGAACAGUGAUGGCUUUCUCUGAGAGUAAGACAAGAAAAGCUUUGUAAAUGGUGCCGAAUUUCCUGCUCUUGGCACGCCCUGCUCAGCACAGAAGAAAAGACUGAUCAGGUUGUCCAAGAUGGAAUCCUUUAUCCACUUUAGUCCACUUAUCUCUUUAAGAUUAAAGGAAAGCAGUCAUUAAAAA